AUUCUCCCACUUCUUCCUGGCAGCUCUAGCAUCUUACUUCCCCAGCCACAGCCUGUUUCAUCUCCAGCCUUUCUCCCUGGACAGGAGUGGGGAAAGGAGUGCUGGAUUCGGAGCUCCUCCCUCCCUGCACCGCCUCAUUUUCUCCUCCGGGUCUGGCGCACAGUGGCCAUUGCCGAUGCACCCUGAAGACUGAAGGAGCCAGGGCAGAGCCAGGAUCCUGCGAGCCAUGGCCCUGGCUGCCUUGCUGAGCCUCCCGGAACCCAGGUCAUCAGGGAACCUGAAGAUUGGAUCUUCUGAGAACAUCAGAGAAAGAGUGCCCCUGCCAUCCACACUGCAGCAAACAUCAGAACCGUGAACCUUGGGUUCAUAAUCUCUCAACUGAGAAGGAUCCCUCCGCAUUCUUGGAACUGCACACCCAUCGAAACCCUUAAGGUGUCAAACUUUCUCAGUCAGAAGUUGACAUAAGGAAGUGACCAGCUUCAGGUCUCCUUUGAAGCUCCCAGCCUAGCUUUCUUUUGAAUCUCUGCUCUUCAACCACAAUGACUUAUGUACCCCAAGACCCCUCCACCUCCUGGCUGCCUGUGAUCUUCCUGCACCUAGCACUCAGCAAAGGGUCUGAUAUUUAGAUAGCACUCAAUCAAUAUGAAGAAUUUAAAGUAUAGUGACAAGGUGGUGCCCACACUGGAUGGUCUGUAUGCUGUGGUCUCAUCAGGGACCUUUCUCUGCACCGCAUUUUUCCUGAGAAAUCCCAGAGUUCAAUAAAUACCUGUGUAUGUCAGAGCUAGACA
Cercocebus atys (sooty mangabey) is the source of this 788-nucleotide long non-coding RNA. RefSeq lists it as uncharacterized. The record is from RefSeq and is a predicted model, not a curated record. The transcript is spliced from 3 exons. Lineage: Eukaryota; Metazoa; Chordata; Mammalia; Primates; Cercopithecidae.